Carassius auratus (goldfish) is the source of this 221-nucleotide long non-coding RNA. RefSeq lists it as uncharacterized. The transcript has 2 exons. The record is from RefSeq and is a predicted model, not a curated record. Lineage: Eukaryota; Metazoa; Chordata; Actinopteri; Cypriniformes; Cyprinidae.
UAUUUAGAGAAAGAGUUGAGAGAAUAUAAUGAAGAGGAAGACUGACAGAAAGAGAAGAUGGCUGAUAAGUGUCACUUGUGUCUGCUGGGACUGAUCUUUCUCUCUUCACUUCUCACAGGGUUCAGUGAAGUGGAUCAUGUGUUCAUCAGUUCUGGUGAAGAUGUCCGUCUGCCCUGUAAUAAUGCUCUUCCUGACUGUAAAUCAACUACAUGGAACUAUAG